ACAUCUGAGCCAUCUCUCCAGCCCCCAAAAUAAAAUCUUAAAAGAAUAUUCUCGGGCUGGAGAGAUGGCUCAGUGGU
This 77-nucleotide microRNA precursor is filed under the name Mesocricetus auratus (golden hamster). RNAcentral describes it as "mir-3473 microRNA precursor family". It matches the Rfam family "mir-3473 microRNA precursor family". The record is from Rfam by way of RNAcentral. Lineage: Eukaryota; Metazoa; Chordata; Mammalia; Rodentia; Cricetidae.